UGGGGAAUAUUGCACAAUGGGCGCAAGCCUGAUGCAGCCAUGCCGCGUGUGUGAAGAAGGCCUUCGGGUUGUAAAGCACUUUCAGCGAGGAGGAAGGUGGUGAGCUUAAUACGCUCAUCAAUUGACGUUACUCGCAGAAGAAGCACCGGCUAACUCCGUGCCAGCAGCCGCGGUAAUACGGAGGGUGCAAGCGUUAAUCGGAAUUACUGGGCGUAAAGCGCACGCAGGCGGUUUGUUAAGUCAGAUGUGAAAUCCCCGGGCUCAACCUGGGAACUGCAUUUGAAACUGGCAAGCUAGAGUCUCGUAGAGGGGGGUAGAAUUCCAGGUGUAGCGGUGAAAUGCGUAGAGAUCUGGAGGAAUACCGGUGGCGAAGGCGGCCCCCUGGACGAAGACUGACGCUCAGGUGCGAAAGCGUGGGGCAGCAAACAGGAUUAGAUACCCUGGUAGUCCACGCUGUAAAACGAUGUCGAUUUGGAGGUUGUGCCCUUGAGGCGUGGCUUCCGGAGCUAACGCGUUAAAUCGACCGCCUGGGGAGUACGGCCGCAAGGUUAAAACUCAAAUGAAUUGAC
This 569-nucleotide ribosomal RNA is filed under the name uncultured bacterium. Its description in RNAcentral is "partial 16S ribosomal RNA". It matches the Rfam family "Bacterial small subunit ribosomal RNA", at positions 355 to 914 of the family's 1533-position model. The record is from RNAcentral.